RNAcentral lists this ribosomal RNA (379 nucleotides) under uncultured bacterium. Its description in RNAcentral is "bacterial SSU rRNA". It matches the Rfam family "Bacterial small subunit ribosomal RNA", at positions 30 to 401 of the family's 1533-position model. The record is from RNAcentral.
AUUGAACGCUGGCGGCAUGCCUUACACAUGCAAGUCGAACGGCAGCACGGGAGCAAUCCUGGUGGCGAGUGGCGAACGGGUGAGUAAUAUAUCGGAACGUGCCCAGUCGUGGGGGAUAACGUAGCGAAAGCUACGCUAAUACCGCAUACGAUCUAUGGAUGAAAGCGGGGGAUCGCAAGACCUCGCGCGAUUGGAGCGGCCGAUAUCAGAUUAGGUAGUUGGUGGGGUAAAAGCCUACCAAGCCUUCGAUCUGUAGCUGGUCUGAGAGGACGACCAGCCACACUGGAACUGAGACACGGUCCAGACUCCUACGGGAGGCAGCAGUGGGGAAUUUUGGACCAAAUGGGCGGCCAAGACCUUCGAUCCAGCAAUAGCCGCG